CUACGGGGCGCAGCAGUGAGGAAUUUUGCGCAAUGGGCGAAAGCCUGACGCAGCAACGCCGCGUGUACGAAGAAGGCCUUCGGGUUGUAAAGUACUUUCAGAAGGGAAGAAGGGCAUCUGAUUAAGAGUUGGAUGUCUUGACGGUACCUUCAGAAGAAGCUCCGGCUAACUCCGUGCCAGCAGCCGCGGUAAUACGGAGGGAGCAAGCGUUAUUCGGAUUUACUGGGCGUAAAGCGCGCGUAGGUGGCUUAUCAAGUCGGGAGUGAAAGUCCAUGGCCUAACCAUGGAAUUGCUUCCGAACUGGUGAGCUAGAGGAUGAGAGGGGAAGGCGGAAUUCCAGGUGUAGCGGUGAAAUGCACAGAUAUCUGGAGGAACACCAGUGGCGAAGGCGGCCUUCUGGAUCAUACCUGACACUGAGGUGCGAAAGCGUGGGGAGCGAACAGGAUUAGAUACCCUAGUAGUC
This 463-nucleotide ribosomal RNA is filed under the name uncultured bacterium. RNAcentral describes it as "partial 16S ribosomal RNA". It matches the Rfam family "Bacterial small subunit ribosomal RNA", at positions 339 to 795 of the family's 1533-position model. The record is from RNAcentral.